RNAcentral lists this ribosomal RNA (447 nucleotides) under uncultured bacterium. RNAcentral's name for it is "partial 16S ribosomal RNA". It matches the Rfam family "Bacterial small subunit ribosomal RNA", at positions 29 to 523 of the family's 1533-position model. The record is from RNAcentral.
AACGAACGCUGGCGGCAGGCCUAACACAUGCAAGUCGAACGAUCCUUCGGGAUAGUGGCGCACGGGUGAGUAACACGUGGGAAUGUACCUUUUAGUGGGGGAUAACAGUUGGAAACGACUGCUAAUACCGCAUACGUCCUUCGGGAGAAAGAUUUAUCGCUAAAAGAUCAGCCCGCGUCUGAUUAGCUAGUUGGUGAGGUAACGGCUCACCAAGGCGACGAUCAGUAGCUGGUCUAAGAGGACGACCAGCCACACUGGAACUGAGACACGGUCCAGACUCUUACGGGAGGCAGCAGUGGGGAAUAUUGGACAAUGGGCGAAAGCCUGAUCCAGCCAUGCCGCGUGAGUGAUGAAGGCCUUCGGGUUGUAAAGCUCUUUAGCAGGGGAAGAUAGUGACGGUACCCUGAGAAUAAGCCCCGGCUAACUCUGUGCCAGCCGCCGCCGUAA